UACGUAGGGAGCAAGCGUUGUCCGGAAUCAUUGGGCGUAAAGGGCGCGUAGGCGGCCCGCUAAGUCGAACGUGAAAUCCCCGAGCUCAACUCGGGAACUGCGUCCGAUACUGGCGGGCUUGAAUCCGGGAGAGGGAUGCGGAAUUCCAGGUGUAGCGGUGAAAUGCGUAGAUAUCUGGAGGAACACCGGUGGCGAAGGCGGCAUCCUGGACCGGCAUUGACGCUGAGGCGCGAAAGCUAGGGGAGCAAACGGG
Molecule: ribosomal RNA, 253 nt
Filed under: uncultured bacterium
Lineage: Bacteria
Description: partial 16S ribosomal RNA
Rfam family: Bacterial small subunit ribosomal RNA
Source: RNAcentral